CAGUCGAACGAGUUCUCGUUGAUGAUCGGUGCUUGCACUGAGAUUCAACAUGGAACGAGUGGCGGACGGGUGAGUAACACGUGGGUAACCUGCCCUUAAGUGGGGGAUAACAUUUGGAAACAGAUGCUAAUACCGCAUAGAUCCAAGAACCGCAUGGUUCUUGGCUGAAAGAUGGCGUAAGCUAUCGCUUUUGGAUGGACCCGCGGCGUAUUAGCUAGUUGGUGAGGUAAUGGCUCACCAAGGCGAUGAUACGUAGCCGAACUGAGAGGUUGAUCGGCCACAUUGGGACUGAGACACGGCCCAAACUCCUACGGGAGGCAGCAGUAGGGAAUCUUCCACAAUGGACGCAAGUCUGAUGGAGCAACGCCGCGUGAGUGAAGAAGGCUUUCGGGUCGUAAAACUCUGUUGUUGGAGAAGAAUGGUCGGCAGAGUAACUGUUGUCGGCGUGACGGUAUCCAACCAGAAAGCCACGGCUAACUACGUGCCAGCAGCCGCGGUAAUACGUAGGUGGCAAGCGUUAUCCGGAUUUAUUGGGCGUAAAGCGAGCGCAGGCGGUUUUUUAAGUCUGAUGUGAAAGCCCUCGGCUUAACCGAGGAAGCGCAUCGGAAACUGGGAAACUUGAGUGCAGAAGAGGACAGUGGAACUCCAUGUGUAGCGGUGAAAUGCGUAGAUAUAUGGAAGAACACCAGUGGCGAAGGCGGCUGUCUGGUCUGUAACUGACGCUGAGGCUCGAAAGCAUGGGUAGCGAACAGGAUUAGAUACCCUGGUAGUCCAUGCCGUAAACGAUGAAUGCUAGGUGUU
RNAcentral lists this ribosomal RNA (801 nucleotides) under uncultured bacterium. RNAcentral's name for it is "bacterial SSU rRNA". It matches the Rfam family "Bacterial small subunit ribosomal RNA", at positions 59 to 824 of the family's 1533-position model. The record is from RNAcentral.